AGUGAACGCUGGCGGUAGGCCUAACACAUGCAAGUCGAACGGCAGCACAGUAAGAGCUUGCUCUUACGGGUGGCGAGUGGCGGACGGGUGGGGAAUACAUCGGAAUCUACUUUUUCGUGGGGGAUAACGUAGGGAAACUUACGCUAAUACCGCAUACGACCUACGGGUGAAAGCAGGGGAUCUUCGGACCUUGCGCGAUUGAAUGAGCCGAUGUCGGAUUAGCUAGUUGGCGGGGUAAAGGCCCACCAAGGCGACGAUCCGUAGCUGGUCUGAGAGGAUGAUCAGCCACACUGGAACUGAGACACGGUCCAGACUCCUACGGGAGGCAGCAGUGGGGAAUAUUGGACAAUGGGCGGAAGCCUGAUCCAGCCAUACCGCGUGGGUGAAGAAGGCCUUCGGGUUGUAAAGCCCUUUUGUUGGGAAAGAAAAGCAGCAGGUUAAUACCCCGCUGUUCUGACGGUACCCAAAGAAUAAGCACCGGCUAACUUCGUG
This 492-nucleotide ribosomal RNA is filed under the name uncultured bacterium. RNAcentral describes it as "partial 16S ribosomal RNA". It matches the Rfam family "Bacterial small subunit ribosomal RNA", at positions 29 to 507 of the family's 1533-position model. The record is from RNAcentral.